Molecule: long non-coding RNA, 1324 nt
Organism: Syzygium oleosum
Lineage: Eukaryota; Viridiplantae; Streptophyta; Magnoliopsida; Myrtales; Myrtaceae
Exons: 3
Source: RefSeq, a predicted model, not a curated record
UGCCUGGUUGGAGCAAGCAUUUUGAUGGCCAUGUUGGACAGGCCACAGUCAAGCAUUGCCUUUGUCAGACAAGGAUCAUGAAGAGAGGGCAAAAAGAUGUGAAUUUGUGUCUGAGCUAUUAUGAUCCACCGUCAUCGACGAUAAUUUAUGAGUAGGUGCAGAAUGGCGGGUGAUCUGGAGCUUACGUGACCGAGAAUCCGGCCCUACAAUCUUUAUGGUUGGCCUGGGGUGAAUUUGUUGUUUGCUGAUGUAUUAAAAUAGGAAGCAAGGGAAUAGGGUGUAUAAGCUAAAAUGUAAUUCUUUCCUUGUCGACUUCGGUUUUGACCCGAGGAAACAAUGUUGUGCAUAGCUCCUGUGUGAUGCUUGGACCUCUCAAAAGUAACGAUAUUGAAGAACUUUUCUUUAUGUCUAUGUACCAUGUAUUAUUCAUAAACAUAUCAAAGCACUAUCGAAAAAGCAAGGAAUAUUGAGUGAGAAUCGCUAAAUUUUACUGUAGUUAGGACUUGGAAGUAAUAGGAAUGGAGUGGGGGUAGGAUUUUCACGGCACUAGGCAUUGCAUUCAGGCGUUGUUAUAUUCAUUUAAGUGGAAAGAUAUCAUCAGUCAAUGCUAGUCUCGCUUGAUGAUAUCUUCCUCUGUUUCCAAUGACCAAAAUAAGACCAAAUCACAGUGCAUAGGAACGAGAACAUUCCAUGCCACAUUUAAACUUCUGACUAGGUUCGAGUCCGAAUUUACUCUCUGAGAAGUGAGUUAGCCACUCCUAUGCAAUUGAAUUAGAUGCACAAGAGAGAGGAGAACCGCCUAGGAAGAAAAAGGAAGUAGUAUUGAGAUUGAUUAACCUACCUCUUCCAAAAAUAGGACCCCUUCAACCAAAACAUAAAUAUCAUCAAUGUAGUCACAGAAAAAUGGAUCCUCUUGGGACCACGAACAGUUAUCAGUAUGGACAAAAACCCCCCUACUUCUCAUCUAAAUCCCCCCAAAAUUAACCAUGGACAUGCAAAAAAUGGCAGCCCAUGUUUAUCAAUUCGUAAAGACCUAAACUUAACCAACGCAGUGGUAGUCUUGUGUACAUUAUGUUUUGGGUUACAUCUUUGACGAAAACAUCAAAACAUGUUGAGCAAACUCCACUCAUCAGACUUGUCUGUCCAGUUGCCAUUUUGUCUAUGUGGGAAUAAAAGGAUGGCAGAGGGAUCGUGUAGACCUCGCUCCUCCUGUGCUCAAGGCCACAAGCAACCAAUACAGUAUGAGUGGAACACCUCGCUAUUUCCUUGAACUCACCAACAUAUAUAACUCGCAUACCUAAAUCAAUUUCUCUCAAAAGGCUUU